This 119-nucleotide small nuclear RNA is filed under the name Helianthus annuus (common sunflower). RNAcentral describes it as "U5 spliceosomal RNA". It matches the Rfam family "U5 spliceosomal RNA". Rfam says of the family: U5 RNA is a component of both types of known spliceosome. The precise function of this molecule is unknown, though it is known that the 5' loop is required for splice site selection and p220 binding, and that both the 3' stem-loop and the Sm site are important for Sm protein binding and cap methylation. The record is from RNAcentral. Lineage: Eukaryota; Viridiplantae; Streptophyta; Magnoliopsida; Asterales; Asteraceae.
AGCCAUGCAGUGAGUACAAAGCGAACUAUUCUUCGCCUUUUACUAAAGAAUACCGUGUGCUCGCUGCCCAAAGUGGCAUACGCUUAUUUUUGGAGAGUCUCUUUUUUUAUAUAAGGGCU